UACGUAGGUGGCAAGCGUUGUCCGGAAUUAUUGGGCGUAAAGCGCGCGCAGGUGGUUUCUUAAGUCUGAUGUGAAAGCCCACGGCUCAACCGUGGAGGGUCAUUGGAAACUGGUGAACUUGAGUGCAGAAGAGGAAAGUGGAAUUCCAAGUGUAGCGGUGAAAUGCGUAGAGAUUUGGAGGAACACCAGUGGCGAAGGCGACUUUCUGGACGGUAACUGACGCUGAGACGCGAAAGCGUGGGGAGCAAACAGG
Molecule: ribosomal RNA, 253 nt
Filed under: uncultured bacterium
Lineage: Bacteria
Description: partial 16S ribosomal RNA
Rfam family: Bacterial small subunit ribosomal RNA
Source: RNAcentral